UACGGAGGGUGCAAGCGUUAAUCGGAAUUACUGGGCGUAAAGCGUGCGUAGGCGGUUGUCUAAGUUGGAUGUGAAAGCCCCGGGCUCAACCUGGGAACUGCAUCCAAAACUGGGCGACUAGAGUGCGAGAGAGGAGUGUGGAAUUUCCUGUGUAGCGGUGAAAUGCGUAGAUAUAGGAAGGAACACCAGUGGCGAAGGCGACACUCUGGCUUGACACUGACGCUGAGGUACGAAAGCGUGGGGAGCAAACAGG
This 253-nucleotide ribosomal RNA is filed under the name uncultured bacterium. RNAcentral's name for it is "partial 16S ribosomal RNA". It matches the Rfam family "Bacterial small subunit ribosomal RNA", at positions 524 to 776 of the family's 1533-position model. The record is from RNAcentral.